This 267-nucleotide ribosomal RNA is filed under the name uncultured bacterium. Its description in RNAcentral is "partial 16S ribosomal RNA". It matches the Rfam family "Bacterial small subunit ribosomal RNA", at positions 521 to 787 of the family's 1533-position model. The record is from RNAcentral.
UAAGACGUAGGGAGCGAGCGUUGUCCGGAUUCAUUGGGCGUAAAGAGCGCGCAGGCGGUUUGGUAAGUCGGAUGUGAAAGCCCGGGGCUCAACCCCGGACCUGCAUCCGAUACUGCCCGACUAGAGGUAGGUAGGGGAGAUCGGAAUUCCUGGUGUAGCGGUGAAAUGCGCAGAUAUCAGGAGGAACACCGGUGGCGAAGGCGGAUCUCUGGGCCUUACCUGACGCUCAGGCGCGAAAGCUAGGGGAGCGAACAGGAUUAGAUACCC